This 491-nucleotide ribosomal RNA is filed under the name uncultured bacterium. Its description in RNAcentral is "partial 16S ribosomal RNA". It matches the Rfam family "Bacterial small subunit ribosomal RNA", at positions 29 to 507 of the family's 1533-position model. The record is from RNAcentral.
GUGAACGCUGGCGGUAGGCCUAACACAUGCAAGUCGAACGGCAGCACAGUAAGAGCUUGCUCUUACGGGUGGCGAGUGGCGGACGGGUGAGGAAUACAUCGGAAUCUACUUUUUCGUGGGGGAUAACGUAGGGAAACUUACGCUAAUACCGCAUACGACCUACGGGUGAAAGCCGGGGAUCUUCGGACCUUGCGCGAUUGAAUGAGCCGAUGUCGGAUUAGCUAGUUGGCGGGGUAAAGGCCCACCAAGGCGACGAUCCGUAGCUGGUCUGAGAGGAUGAUCAGCCACACUGGAACUGAGACACGGUCCAGACUCCUACGGGAGGCAGCAGUGGGGAAUAUUGGACAAAGGGCGCAAGCCUGAUCCAGCCAUACUGCGUGGGUGAAGAAGGCCUUCGGGUUGUAAAGCCCUUUUGUUGGGAAAGAAAAGCAGCAGGUUAAUACCCCGCUGUUCUGACGGUACCCAAAGAAUAAGCACCGGCUAACUUCGUG